UUAGCGUCUACCAUGCGAGUCGAGCGGUAGAGAGAAGCUUGCUUCUCUUGAGAGCGGCGGACGGGUGAGUAAUGCCUAGGAAUCUGCCUGGUAGUGGGGGAUAACGUUCGGAAACGGACGCUAAUACCGCAUACGUCCUACGGGAGAAAGCAGGGGACCUUCGGGCCUUGCGCUAUCAGAUGAGCCUAGGUCGGAUUAGCUAGUUGGUGGGGUAAUGGCUCACCAAGGCGACGAUCCGUAACUGGUCUGAGAGGAUGAUCAGUCACACUGGAACUGAGACACGGUCCAGACUCCUACGGGAGGCAGCAGUGGGGAAUAUUGGACAAUGGGCGAAAGCCUGAUCCAGCCAUGCCGCGUGUGUGAAGAAGGUCUUCGGAUUGUAAAGCACUUUAAGUUGGGAGGAAGGGUUGUAGAUUAAUACUCUGCAAUUUUGACGUUACCGACAGAAUAAGCACCGGCUAACUCUGUGCCAGCAGCCGCGGUAAUACAGAGGGUGCAAGCGUUAAUCGGAAUUACUGGGCGUAAAGCGCGCGUAGGUGGUUUGUUAAGUUGGAUGUGAAAUCCCCGGGCUCAACCUGGGAACUGCAUUCAAAACUGACUGACUAGAGUAUGGUAGAGGGUGGUGGAAUUUCCUGUGUAGCGGUGAAAUGCGUAGAUAUAGGAAGGAACACCAGUGGCGAAGGCGACCACCUGGACUAAUACUGACACUGAGGUGCGAAAGCGUGGGGAGCAAACAGGAUUAGAUACCCUGGUAGUCCACGCCGUAAACGAUGUCAACUAGCCGUUGGAAGCCUUGAGCUUUUAGUGGCGCAGCUAACGCAUUAAGUUGACCGCCUGGGGAGUACGGCCGCAAGGUUAAAACUCAAAUGAAUUGACGGGGGCCCGCACAAGCGGUGGAG
Molecule: ribosomal RNA, 899 nt
Filed under: Pseudomonas cedrina
Lineage: Bacteria; Pseudomonadati; Pseudomonadota; Gammaproteobacteria; Pseudomonadales; Pseudomonadaceae
Description: bacterial SSU rRNA
Rfam family: Bacterial small subunit ribosomal RNA
Source: RNAcentral